GCUUCAUUAGGCGGUCAUUACAUUACUCGCAACCACAAAAACGAGAACAUCACGGUUGGUGAUGGUGAUCGAUGCGGUUGAAUGGAAUGGAGACGAAAUGGAGGGUGGAGAGUGUUAAAAUGACCUGCGGCCCCCAAGAAGUUCUUAAAGAAAACACACACAAAAACGGGAAGAUGAAUCAGAAACGGAAAUCUUAUCAGAAAAUAUGUAUUUAGAGUGAUAA
This is a non-coding RNA of Caenorhabditis elegans, 223 nucleotides long. NCBI's taxonomy places the organism in Eukaryota, Metazoa, Nematoda, Chromadorea, Rhabditida, Rhabditidae. The record is from Ensembl.